Molecule: transfer RNA, 76 nt
Filed under: Candidatus Woykebacteria bacterium RBG_16_39_9b
Lineage: Bacteria; Candidatus Woykeibacteriota
Also listed under: 1 other name
Description: tRNA-Glu
Rfam family: tRNA
About the family: Transfer RNA (tRNA) molecules are approximately 80 nucleotides in length. Their secondary structure includes four short double-helical elements and three loops (D, anti-codon, and T loops). Further hydrogen bonds mediate the characteristic L-shaped molecular structure. tRNAs have two regions of fundamental functional importance: the anti-codon, which is responsible for specific mRNA codon recognition, and the 3' end, to which the tRNAs corresponding amino acid is attached (by aminoacyl-tRNA synthetases). tRNAs cope with the degeneracy of the genetic code in two manners: having more than one tRNA (with a specific anti-codon) for a particular amino acid; and 'wobble' base-pairing, i.e. permitting non-standard base-pairing at the 3rd anti-codon position.
Source: RNAcentral
GGCGCUAUCGUCUAGAGGUCUAGGACACGUGGUUCUCAGCCACGAAACCGGGGUUCGAAUCCCCGUAGCGUCACCA